UCAGGAAAUUUUAAGGGCGUAUGGUGGAUACCUUGACUCUAAAAGGCGAUGAAGGACGUGGCAUGGCUGCGAUAAGCUUCGGUAAGGUGCCUAGUAACCUGUGACCCGAAGAUUUCCGAAUGGGGAAACCUAAUCUGCUUAAUGCGGAUUGCUGUGUGUAUAUAAAAGACACACGGAGCGUACCCGGGGAAGUGAAACAUCUCAGUACCCGGAGGAAAAGAAAACAAUGUCUAUGAAUUUAGACGAUAUUCUGUGAGUAGCGGCGAGCGAAAGCGGAAGAGCCCAAACCUGAUGUGCUUUUAGUAUAUCAGGGGUUGUAGGAUAAUAACCUCAUUUAGUUGAGGGAAGUCAAAAAAUAUUUUGUUAGUUGAAUUUGCUGGGAAGCAAAACUUCAAAGGGUAAUAGUCCCGUAAACGAAAACAAUUUAUCUUUCUUGUUAUUACUCCUGAGUACCCCAAGACACGAAUAGCUUGGGGGAACCCGCCAGUACUAACUGGUAAGGCUAAAUACUUUUAGAGAUCGAUAGUGAACAAGUACCGUGAGGGAAAGGUGAAAAGAACCCCGGAGAGGGGAGUGAAAUAGAUUUGAAACCAUACGUUUACAAGGAGUAGAAGAGGUUGCUUGCAACCUCGACUGCGUGCCUAUUGAAGAAUGAGCCAACGAGUCUGAAUAUGCAGCUGCCUAAUUGCGAUAGCAAGGAGGCCCAGCGAAAGCGAGUGUUAAUAGCGCGAAAUUAUAGUUGUAUGUUUAGGACCCGAAGCCAAGUGAUCUUACCAUGAGCAGGGUGAACUUCGUCGAAAGACGAAGGGAGGCCCGAACCGGUUGACCGUUCAACAUCAUCGGAUGACUUGUGGUAAGCAGUGAAAAGCUAAUCGAACUUGGUAAUAGCUGGUUCUCUCCGAAAUAGCUUUAGGGUUAGCGUCUAGAUUACCUGCUGGGGGUAGAGCACUGGAAGGAAUGAACAGGGGGAAACUUCGUCAUUCCUAUCAAACUCCGAAUACCAGCAGUCAAGUUCUAGGCAGUUAGACUCCGGGGGCGAAGCUCCGGUGGUCAAAAGGGAAACAGCCCAGACCUACAUCUAAGGUCCCUAAAUUCAUACUAAGUGCACUUAAGGAGGUAAAAUUUCUCAGACAAUGAGGAGGUUGGCUUAGAAGCAGCCAUCCUUUAAAGAUAGCGUAACAGCUCACUCAUCAAGAGAUUUCGCGCCGCAGAUUAUCGGGGCUAAGUAUGAUACCGAAGAUUAGGAUUCGUGAACUUCAUAGAGGAGUUCUUUAUUUAGAAAUAAAAAACAAGGAUUUACAAGUAAUGCAUUAAGUUUUCUAGAAAUUUAAUGCGUGUGGCGAGGGGGUUAAUCAGAGGUCACUAUAAAAAAUAAUCUCCAUUAUUUCUAAUUUUUGUUUGCAAUUUAAAUUUUAUAUGCACCCGGGUAGCUCAGUUGGUAGAGCAAGAGGAUGGCGAAUCCCCUAUGUCGAGGCCCGGGAGCCAAUUAAAAUUUAAAUUGCUUCUUCUAUGAAGUUCACGAGUGGUAGGAGAGCGUUCUGUUCUGCGAUGAAGCCGAAGGCGUAAGCCACGGUGGAGCGUACAGAAGUGAGAAUGUUGGCACAAGUAACCGCAAUGCAGGUGAGAUCCCUGCACGCCGAAAGACUAAGGUUUCCUUCGCAAUGUUUGUCAGCGAAGGGUUAGUCGGGCCUAAGGAGAUGGUGAAAACCGGAUCCGAUGGACAUACGUUUAAUAUUACGUAACUUCUUUAUAUUUCGAUGGAGUGACGGAGGACACAAGUAAGAGCACAUUAUUGGAUUUGUGUUAUUUAUUUCAAGAGACGUUUCUUAGGAAAAUCCGGGAGACAUAAAUUUCGAAAAUAGAUUAAAUUCCUUCCUUCGGGUUGGGAAAUUCUUACGAAGAGCCUUCCAAGAAAAGCUUCUAAGAUUAAAUAUAGAGAACCCGUACCAUAAACCGACACAGGUAGUCAGGUCGAGAAGACCAAGGCGAACGAGUGAUAAUUCCCCAAGGAACUCGGCAAAAAAGCAGCCGUAACUUCGGAAUAAGGCUUGCCCUUCUUUAAUUAGAAGGGCCGCAGCGAAAGUAACCCUGCCAACUGUUUAUCAAAAACACAGCUCCGUGCGAACUCGCAAGAGGAUGUAUACGGGGUGACGCCUGACCAAUGCCAGAAGGUUAAAUAUCGGUGGUACAUUGUCUUCGGAUGAUAUGCUGGCUGAUAUAAGCCCUGGUGAAUGUCGGCCGUAACUAUAACGGUCCUAAGGUAGCGAAAUUCCUUGUCUGGUAAGUUCAGACGUGCACGAAUGGCGUAAUGAGUGGGGUACUGUCUCGGGGAACAGCUCGG
RNAcentral lists this ribosomal RNA (2341 nucleotides) under Patescibacteria group bacterium. Its description in RNAcentral is "partial 23S ribosomal RNA". It matches the Rfam family "Bacterial large subunit ribosomal RNA", at positions 1 to 2036 of the family's 2925-position model. The record is from RNAcentral.